Molecule: ribosomal RNA, 427 nt
Filed under: uncultured bacterium
Lineage: Bacteria
Description: partial 16S ribosomal RNA
Rfam family: Bacterial small subunit ribosomal RNA
Source: RNAcentral
UGGGGAAUAUUGGACAAUGGGCGAAAGCCUGAUCCAGCCAUGCCGCGUGUGUGAAGAAGGUCUUCGGAUUGUAAAGCACUUUAAGUUGGGAGGAAGGGCAUUAACCUAAUACGUUAGUGUUUUGACGUUACCGACAGAAUAAGCACCGGCUAACUCUGUGCCAGCAGCCGCGGUAAUACAGAGGGAGCAAGCGUUAAUAGGAAUUACUGGGCGUAAAGCGCGCGUAGGUGGUUUGUUAAGUUGGAUGUGAAAUCCCCGGGCUCAACCUGGGAACUGCAUUCAAAACUGACUGACUAGAGUAUGGUAGAGGGUGGUGGAAUUUCCUGUGUAGCGGUGAAAUGCGUAGAUAUAGGAAGGAACACCAGUGGCGAAGGCGACCACCUGGACUAAUACUGACACUGAGGUGCGAAAGCGUGGGGAGCAAACA